This 251-nucleotide ribosomal RNA is filed under the name uncultured prokaryote. RNAcentral's name for it is "partial 16S rRNA". It matches the Rfam family "Bacterial small subunit ribosomal RNA", at positions 525 to 775 of the family's 1533-position model. The record is from RNAcentral.
ACGGAGGGUGCAAGCGUUAAUCGGAAUUACUGGGCGUAAAGGGUGCGUAGGUGGUUAAGUAAGUUAUCUGUGAAAUCCCUGGGCUCAACCUGGGCAGGUCAGAUAAAACUGCAUAACUCGAGUAUGGGAGAGGGUAGUGGAAUUUCCGGUGUAGCGGUGAACUGCCUAGAGAUCGGAAGGAACACCAGUGGCGAAGGCGGCUACCUGGGAUAAGACUGACGCGGAGUCCCGAAAGCGUGUGGAGCAAACAG